Molecule: ribosomal RNA, 246 nt
Filed under: uncultured bacterium
Lineage: Bacteria
Description: partial small subunit ribosomal RNA
Rfam family: Bacterial small subunit ribosomal RNA
Source: RNAcentral
AGAACGAACGCUGGCGGCGCGCUUAACACAUGCAAGUCGGACGCUCCCUUCGGGGGGAGUGGCGGACGGGUGAGUAACGCGUGGGAACCUGCCCUGGAGUUCGGGACAACCGCGGGAAACUGCGGCUAACGACCGGAGUACGACCCCGUGGUAGCGAUAUUGGGGGGAAAGUUUACGCUCUGGGAUGGGCCCGCGUCGGAUUAGCUUGUUGGUGGGUAACGGCUACCAAGGCAUCGAUCCGUAGCU